Molecule: long non-coding RNA, 849 nt
Filed under: Olea europaea (common olive)
Lineage: Eukaryota; Viridiplantae; Streptophyta; Magnoliopsida; Lamiales; Oleaceae
Description: long non-coding RNA (OEUR_LNC005963)
Source: RNAcentral
UGAGUUUAAAGGUUGUAGAUCAAAUGCUCAAGCUGGGUUGGGAAGGUGAUGGUUUGAGCCCCCUCAUUAAGUGAAAGUUUCUAAAAAGGAAGGAUUUGAUUGGAAUGGAUUCUGAAAGACAGUUCAAUAUACUGCGUAAGAUGGAUUUCUUUGUAGAUGUAACAUAUUAGCCUUCAACGACGAGGUAAAGACAUCAAAUUUUUUUUAGAUCUCAUAUUACACGAGUGCAAUGCCCAGCUAUUCUGUUGGUUUUGACUCAAACCAGUUGCAAGUUUUGUGUUGUGACCUGACAUUAUGAUUUCUCCCGCCGUCUGUAUAUUUUUUUGUCCAUUUUCUGAUGUUAUGAUGUAUAAUUUUUUCUACAUCUUAGGCAACUGGAAGUUGCAUUUCUUUUUGUUUAUGUUUUGCUCACAAUAUCAUGUUAUUAUGCAAAUUAUAUGAUUUUUUGUCCUUGCUUGAAGAAGUUGUUCCUACUUGUACCAUUUAUCCCCCUUUCCAGCAUCUCUCACUAAAGACUGCCUUUUCUGCAGUAUGAAGUGCCGGUUCGGAUAUACAUUACUUGCUAAGUUCAGUCAUCAGUAUUUUUAAACCUCUCAACUUGUACAUGGAUGAAACUAUUAGCUUAGUGGUAGACUAUACUCAAUGUGUUUAUCGGUACCUAACCACAGGACGUGUAUCAUUGAAGAUUAGUUGCAUUAACAUGAAAUGACUGAAAACUUGCCUCUCUUCGUUGGCUGGGUGCUUUUUUUCCUUGUCACACCUUUUUGCAGUCCAAAAAAAUGAUAUGAGAGUUGCUUUUCAUUUGUUUUCUUGCAACUAUAGGCUUUGGUUUGGUCCUGUUUAUUAAAA